UUUUUCCUAUUUAUUUAUUAUAGUUAUAUCCGUUUCAGAAACAAACUUAUUAUGUGGAAUUUUAUGCAUCCUACUCAAGAACAUGUUUUAUGUGCCAUAAUAUUCAAAUAUCAAAAGUUGGAAGAUCUAAAUGUCUUAAUAGCAUAUGCCUUUAUUUUUCUUUUCUUUUUCAUUCACAAAAUAAAUGUAGUGUAUGUAUUCCCUAGCUAUGAACAAUGUGAAAUGCAAGUUCACCUGAAGGAUAAUGCUAAACAUUGCUUCAUCCAGCAUGACAAAGUCAUUGCUUCUUGUUGUACAAUAAGCAAAGUGCAUAGAAAAUUCCCUCUCGCAUGUUUCUUCAAUGAAUUUACAUGAGGGAACAGAUGCUAUCACUUGAAGAAUUGUGCACAGUGUGUCCUGCAACAAAGUCAACAGUUAGCCUUAUAGUGGACUAACAAUGUGAAAUGCAAGUUCACCUGGAGGAUAAUGCUAAACAUUGCUUCAUCCAGCAUGACAAAGUCAUUGCUUGUUGUUGUACAGUAAUCAAAGUGCUUAGAGAAUUCCCUCUCGCAUGUUUCUUCAAUGAGUUUACAUGAGGGAAAAAAAUGCUAUCACUUGAAGAAUUGGGCACUGUGUGUCCUGCAACAAAGUAAACAGUUAGCCUCAUAGUGGACUAACAAUGUGAAAUGAAAGUUUACCUGGAGGAUAAUGCUAAACAAUGCUUCAUCCAGCAUGACAAAGUCAUUGCUUGUUGUACAAUAAUCAAAGUGCACAGAGAAUUCCCUCUCGCAUGUUUCUUAAAUGAUUUUACAUGAGGGAAAAGAUGCUAUCACUUGAAGAAUUGGGCACAGUGUGUCCUGCAACAAAGUCAACAGUUAGCCCCAUAGUGGACUAACAAAUAUCUUGCCGAAAAGUUUCUGCUUCAUCGCGCACUAAACUUGGCAUAUCAGAAAACUUGUUGUAUGACCUUCCAAUAGGAGAACACAAUCCCUGCAGGUAAUAUAUAGAUAAAAGGCAUUAAUUAAUAUCUUAUAAUUCAUUUCCACAUUUAGCACUAAGUACCAUAUUGAACAAAUGAGCAUGAAAGAUAACAAGUUGAAAAAAAUUCGGGAGAUUACCUCUGAAAGGUGCUCGAGAAUUGUUUUGCAGCAUUCCUGGUGAAGAAGAGAGAUCCCGAACUUAUCUGUCAGUAGAAGAAGCUAGAGUAACAGUGCAUUAGUGCUGACUUGAUAGAUGUGAACUUCAGUUAUGGGCAGCUGUAAUCUCAAGGGGUCCUACAAAUUAUCCACUGAAUGCAAGUUAUAAAACAUCAGAUUCAUAUGCUUUCCAGGAUUCACUUGGUACAUCUUUAGAAGAAAUAUGCAAGGUUGUUCCAGGCUAUCUUAUAUUCUUUCCUAGCUAUAAACUGAUGGAGAAACUAAGUAGUCGAUGGCAAGAAACAGGCCAAUGGGAUUGACUUAAUAAGAAACCCCUUUUUGAUGAGCCAAGAGGAAGCCAGGAAGAAUUUGAAUCUGUUUUGAAGGGUUACUAUGAAUUCAUUCACCAGGGAAGUAAACCAGUCUUGGGAAGAGGGAAGGGCAGGAAAUCUGAGAAGAAUUUAUCAAGAUCUUCUAAAGAUAACAAGAAAGGAGCUGCUUUUCUUGCUGUCUUCAGAGGAAAGGUAUUCAACAGGAGCUUCUUCCUAGGACUCUUUUCUACCUUGUGUUUAAGUGCUGAUUCCUGUUAUGAUCUUUCUGGAUAAAUCAGAUCACAAGUAUGGUUUAUUAUGAUUCCCACUUUUGUGCUCAGUCACAGCAUUGUAUUGAACAAAAAUUCCAGCUGGAAGUUAUAAUACUUACCAUAACUGAUGUGGGAAUUCAUUAUUUAGCAUACAUUGUUCAAGUCAUGCCAAAGUGUUCUUUAUUCUCAUAUUUGCAUCUGUUGGAAAACAAAGUGCUAUUAACAUUCUCUUAUUUUACUCAUGGUAAAAGUAGAGUUAUUGUGUUAGUUGAAUAGUCAUGCCCCACAAUUGGCAGAUGUUGUAAAGUGUUGAGACUCACAUUGCCGAUAAAUGGUAGGCACAAAGGCUAUUGCAAUCUCCAA
This is a long non-coding RNA of Ipomoea triloba (trilobed morning glory), 2061 nucleotides long. RefSeq lists it as uncharacterized. Lineage: Eukaryota; Viridiplantae; Streptophyta; Magnoliopsida; Solanales; Convolvulaceae. The transcript has 3 exons. The record is from RefSeq and is a predicted model, not a curated record.